ACCAAACGACCCCUUCUCUAGAACUUUCAAAAAGGCCCACUUCAACCCCACCUCUGUCUCUCCCUUUUCCUGCUGAAAAAUCCCAUUUUUAUGGCCUAAAAGUUACUGCUACUUCCGCAGCUUCUUCUUCUAGUAGUAAUGUUCAUUUGCGUUCAAAUGGGAAUUCUGGGAGUUCUUUUGUUGCUUCAGCUGUGGUGACUCCUAAUUCUUCUGUGCUUAGUGAAGAGGCCUUUAAGGGGCUAGGGGGUUUUGGGAAAGGCUCUUUCGAUGUUAGUGAGUCUGAAUAUG
Molecule: long non-coding RNA, 288 nt
Filed under: Coffea arabica (coffee)
Lineage: Eukaryota; Viridiplantae; Streptophyta; Magnoliopsida; Gentianales; Rubiaceae
Description: long non-coding RNA (CARA_LNC002022)
Source: RNAcentral